GCUGGAUGUGGUAGUGCAUUCUUGUAGUCCCAGCUAUUUGGGAGGCUGAGACAGGAGGAUUGCUUGAGAGUUCAGGAGUUCUGGACUGUAUGUGCUAUGCCAAUCGAGCGUCCACACAAAGUUCAGCCUCGAUCUGGUGACCUCCUGGGAUGGAGGGAGGGGGCGCGACACCAGGUUGCCUAAGGAGGGGUGAACUGGCCCAGGUUGGAAAUGGAGCAGGUUAAAACUCCUAUGCUGAUCAGUAGUGGGAUCGUACCUGUGAAUAGCCACUGUACUCCAGCCUGGGCAAUAUAGUGAGACCCUGUCUA
Molecule: non-coding RNA, 308 nt
Organism: Otolemur garnettii (small-eared galago)
Lineage: Eukaryota; Metazoa; Chordata; Mammalia; Primates; Galagidae
Source: Rfam